This 492-nucleotide ribosomal RNA is filed under the name uncultured bacterium. RNAcentral describes it as "partial 16S ribosomal RNA". It matches the Rfam family "Bacterial small subunit ribosomal RNA", at positions 29 to 507 of the family's 1533-position model. The record is from RNAcentral.
AGUGAACGCUGGCGGUAGGCCUAACACAUGCAAGUCGAACGGCAGCACAGUAAGAGCUUGCUCUUACGGGUGGCGAGUGGCGGACGGGUGAGGAAUACAUCGGAAUCUACUUUUUCGUGGGGGAUAACGUAGGGAAACUUACGCUAAUACCGCAUACGACCUACGGGUGAAAGCAUGGGAUCUUCGGACCUUGCGCGAUUGAAUGAGCCGAUGUCGGAUUAGCUAGUUGGCGGGGUAAAGGCCCACCAAGUCGACGAUCCGUAGCUGGUCUGAGAGGAUGAUCAGCCACACUGGAACUGAAACACGGUCCAGACUCCUACGGGAGGCAGCAGUGGGGAAUAUUGGACGAUGGGCGCAAGCCUGAUCCAGCCAUACCGCGUGGGUGAAGAAGGCCUUCGGGUUGUAAAGCCCUUUUGUUGGGAAAGAAAAGCAGCAGGUUAAUACCCCGCUGUUCUGACGGUACCCAAAGAAUAAGCACCGGCUAACUUCGUG